UUCAAAUGGCCUGGCAGGAAGUGCUCUAGCAGAGGGACUCUGGCCUUGCAAGAGUCCCUAUUUCCCCCUUUUUUUUUGCUUUUCACACAGUAAAACCCUGCUUUACUUCCCUUUGAGUCGUCUGUGAGCCUAAAUUUUUGUGGCUGUGGGAAGGACAAGAACCCCAUCUUUAGCUGAAAUAAGGAAAAGUUCCGCAACAUUUUUGGCACACACCCUGGGGGCUCCGGAAGUGAAAGUUCCCAGGAGAUGAAGACAUUGAAACUGCCAUCAUAAAAUUAAUAAAAGGUUCAAGAUUAGAAUUAUGGUAUUGGCCUGGAUUUUGUUAAGACAGAGACAUAGGAUUAUGUUGGCUCGGAGAAUGAUACCUCAAAGGCUGGUGCUGAGAGUUCUUAGAAGCUGCUUCAGAAUCAAGGAUCUCUCCAGAGAUCAACCACUGGAGAAAAGAUACUAGGAGUCAUCACCACAUCUAGACAGAGUGCUGCUCCAAGAGAUUAACUGAGGGAUUUCAUCUGCAUAAUAAGUCAACCUUUUUUCCGGGCGCAAUGGCUCACGCCUGUAAUCCUAGCACUUU
This 571-nucleotide long non-coding RNA is filed under the name Homo sapiens (human). Its description in RNAcentral is "HSALNT0369085". Lineage: Eukaryota; Metazoa; Chordata; Mammalia; Primates; Hominidae. The record is from RNAcentral.